CAGCAGCCGCGGUAAGACGUAGGGCGCGAGCGUUGUCCGGAUUUAUUGGGUUUAAAGGGUGCGUAGGCGGCUUUUUAAGUCAGUGGUGAAAUCCUGCAGCUUAACUGUAGAACAGCCAUUGAUACUGAAGAGCUUGAGUACAGACGAGGUAGGCGGAAUUUAUGGUGUAGCGGUGAAAUGCAUAGAUACCAUAAAGAACACCUAUUGCGAAGGCAGCUUACUAGGCUGUAACUGACGCUGAGGCACGAAAGCGUGGGGAUCA
This 262-nucleotide ribosomal RNA is filed under the name uncultured bacterium. RNAcentral describes it as "partial 16S ribosomal RNA". It matches the Rfam family "Bacterial small subunit ribosomal RNA", at positions 509 to 770 of the family's 1533-position model. The record is from RNAcentral.